UGGCUUGCGUUAGAGUAGUCCUGGUCACGAGCUUUUGCUUCACAGGGUACUCUGGGCGUCUUCCGGUACCAGUCACUCACACUGGCCCCCAGUACCAUUCUGCAUCUGAUCUUGCUUUUUAGCUACAACAGGGAGAGAGUGCACUAGGACAUGGGUCCCUCCCUUUCUAGACAGGUCCCUCUCCUGUCCCUGCACUAUCCCUAACCUGCUUUUGAAUCCUUGCACUCCGCCAGACAGGGGGAGAACAGGAGCUAGAGUUCUUUUGUUUGUUGGUUCUGUUU
Chelonoidis abingdonii (Abingdon island giant tortoise) is the source of this 281-nucleotide non-coding RNA. The record is from RefSeq and is a predicted model, not a curated record. NCBI's taxonomy places the organism in Eukaryota, Metazoa, Chordata, Testudines, Testudinidae.